CAGUCGCCGCGGUAAUACGAAGGGGGCUAGCGUUGCUCGGAAUGACUGGGCGUAAAGGGCGCGUAGGCGGAUCACGCAGUCAGAUGUGAAAUUCCUGGGCUUAACCUGGGGGCUGCAUUUGAGACGCGUGGUCUAGAGUGUGAAAGAGGGUCGUGGAAUUCCCAGUGUAGAGGUGAAAUUCGUAGAUAUUGGGAAGAACACCGGUGGCGAAGGCGGCGACCUGGUUCAUGACUGACGCUGAGGCGCGAAAGCGUGGGGAGCAAACAGGAUUAGAUACCCGUGUAGUCCCUGUCUCUUAUAC
Molecule: ribosomal RNA, 301 nt
Filed under: uncultured bacterium
Lineage: Bacteria
Description: partial 16S ribosomal RNA
Rfam family: Bacterial small subunit ribosomal RNA
Source: RNAcentral